RNAcentral lists this ribosomal RNA (253 nucleotides) under uncultured bacterium. RNAcentral describes it as "partial 16S ribosomal RNA". It matches the Rfam family "Bacterial small subunit ribosomal RNA", at positions 524 to 776 of the family's 1533-position model. The record is from RNAcentral.
GACAGAGGGGGCAAGCGUUGUCCGGAUUGACUGGGCGUAAAGCGCCCGCAGGUGGUGCGUCAAGUGCGCUGUGAAAGCCCGCGGCUUAACCGCGGGAGGCCAGUGCAGACUGUCGGACUGGAGCGAUGCAGAGGGUGGUGGAAUUGCCGGUGUAGUGGUGAAAUGCGUAGAGAUCGGCAGGAACACCAAGGGGGAAGCCAGCCACCUGGGCAUCGGCUGACACUGAGGGGCGACAGCGUGGGGAGCGAACUGG